CGUGCGUCUGCGGCCUGUCUAGACGACCCCCUCCCCGCGCCACACCGCUUCGAUCCCAGCAUACUAACCUCACCUUCCUCGCCGGCAACUCCGCUUUCCCCGCAGUCGCUCCUUUCACUGCAACGACCAUCUGCUGUUAGUCCUGGGAAACAAUUUUGUUAUUUUGAUCGUAGUCCAAUGGUGGUCCAGUGACAUUUAUGACGUAUGUUUACGCUAGCACAAGUAGCGCAAUAAAUAAAACAAGUCCGUGAG
RNAcentral lists this unclassified non-coding RNA (252 nucleotides) under Melitaea cinxia (Glanville fritillary). RNAcentral describes it as "misc RNA ENSMCXG00005000641.1". Lineage: Eukaryota; Metazoa; Arthropoda; Insecta; Lepidoptera; Nymphalidae. The record is from RNAcentral.